GAAAUGCGAUACGUCGUGUGAAAUGUAAGGUUCUGUGAAUCAUUGAAAUUUUGAACGCAAAUUGUACUAAUCAGCUUAAAAAACUGAUUGGUGUGUUUGAUCGAGCGUCGUUUAUAAAUAAUCUCAAACAUGUAUUUUUAAAAAAUACAUAACUGAGGAAAUAUUGGUUAAUUAUUAACAAAUAAUUAUCCUUUUAAAUUGCUAGAGUUUAAACUAAAACUAAAAAAAGAUAAGAGAUGCUUUAAUAAUUAAAACUUCUCAAGGCUUAUUUUUAGAUGUUUAAACUUCUAAAAAAGGGUUUUUAACUCUUUUAAAAUCACGACCUCGAUUCAAGCAAGAUUACCCGCUGAAUUUAA
RNAcentral lists this unclassified non-coding RNA (356 nucleotides) under uncultured fungus. RNAcentral's name for it is "sequence contains ITS1". The stretch from base 1 to 110 matches the Rfam family "5.8S ribosomal RNA", at positions 50 to 154 of the family's 154-position model. Lineage: Eukaryota; Fungi. The record is from RNAcentral.